CAACCCUCAAGCACUGCUUGGUAUUGGAUACUAUCACCUAUGGUGGUGUAUCCUAAAAGCAUUAGUAGUAGCAUUCUGCUUCUAGUGUAAUAAUUUUCUCACUUUGGAGUUUGAGUGACUGCUAAAAUAUUCAUUCAUCAAU
Molecule: unclassified non-coding RNA, 142 nt
Filed under: uncultured Ascomycota
Lineage: Eukaryota; Fungi; Ascomycota
Description: sequence contains ITS2
Source: RNAcentral